This is a long non-coding RNA of Oreochromis niloticus (Nile tilapia), 672 nucleotides long. RefSeq lists it as uncharacterized. The record is from RefSeq and is a predicted model, not a curated record. The transcript has 3 exons. NCBI's taxonomy places the organism in Eukaryota, Metazoa, Chordata, Actinopteri, Cichliformes, Cichlidae.
UAUUCUGGUUUUACUUCCUGUUUUUCUUAGUUUUUUCCUUCAUUGUUUCCGCCUCUAUUUAGUUGUCUGUGCUUGAGCUCUGCUCCCACCUGUGUCUUGUUUGCAAUUAGCCCUCUGUGUAAAUACACUCCUGUAUAUGUGGUCUGCUUUUCUUCCAGAGUUUCUUCCAUUCUUCGUUUCCUCGCUGUCUGAGUCUCUGCCCGGCCUUCACAAAUCCCCCAUCAUCCCGCUUGAUUGACAGGUGGACAUCAGCCCGUCAUCAGAUAAGCGCAGAGGCAGGUUGUGGUGCAUUACUUACUUUUUGAGGAAAGCUGACAGUGCUUUGACAAACUCUUGCUGGUUGACAUCUUUCACCGUGACGCUGGGCAUCUAGAAGGACAGUUGGAGACAGGGGCCCCACAGAGACGACAGGCAGGCGGUUAUGGACUCCCAGCUUAGUGACUGCAGCAAAAAAGGACCACAAGAAAAAGGAUGCUGAAGAGGGAUGGAGGGAGACUGCCCUCGUUUGGAAAGGAUGAUACCUUAUCCUAAACUAACCUCGCCUGCCGCUUAAUAUCCCAGCUUAAUUCACCCUUUAAACCUAAGUAACACUGACGGGAAUAUUCUCCACUUGUAUUGUAAUCCUACGGGUCAAAUAAGGUGGCGAAACAAUAUUAAAAAGCGAGUUUUUGA